Molecule: ribosomal RNA, 292 nt
Filed under: uncultured bacterium
Lineage: Bacteria
Description: partial 16S ribosomal RNA
Rfam family: Bacterial small subunit ribosomal RNA
Source: RNAcentral
GUGCCAGCCGCCGCGGUAAGACGGAGGGUGCAAGCGUUAUUCGGAUUUAUUGGGCGUAAAGAGCGUGUAGGCGGCCGGUCAAGCCAGAUGUGAAAGCCCAGGGCUUAACCCUGGAAGUGCAUUUGGAACUGGUUGGCUUGAGUUCGGGAGAGGGAAGUGGAAUUCCGGGUGUAGAGGUGAAAUUCGUAGAUAUCCGGAGGAACACCGGUGGCGAAGGCGACUUCCUGGACCGAAACUGACGCUGAGACGCGAAAGCGUGGGGAGCAAACAGGAUUAGAAACCCCCGUAGUCC